AUGGACACGAGCGAGAUUUGUCGACGAGCUCUCUGGGCCGAUCGCUCGACGCGCGGGCACGGAAUCGGAAUCGAUCACGAGGGUUGGGGGGUUGGCACGGCGAGAGAGGAACACAAGGACACGGCGGAGGAGGCUGACAGCAAAUUCAAAUUCCAAUUCCAAUUCGGUUUCGACAGUGGAGUAGAUAACAAAUUCAAGCCUGGAACUAAUCUGGAGAUAGCAAGGCUUCAGAAGUUUGAAUAUGAACUACUUCCUCCGUUGACAAAUAUAAGCUGUUCUUCUAGUAACUUCUUUCCUGAAUCAGAUGUAUAUAGACAUGUUUUACUGUGUUUUGUUCAUUUAUUUCAGUCCGUCUAA
Molecule: ribosomal RNA, 357 nt
Filed under: Triticum aestivum (bread wheat)
Lineage: Eukaryota; Viridiplantae; Streptophyta; Magnoliopsida; Poales; Poaceae
Description: partial small subunit ribosomal RNA
Source: RNAcentral